RNAcentral lists this long non-coding RNA (836 nucleotides) under Anser cygnoides (Swan goose). RNAcentral's name for it is "lncRNA (ENSACDG00005012005.1)". Lineage: Eukaryota; Metazoa; Chordata; Aves; Anseriformes; Anatidae. The record is from RNAcentral.
UGACUAAAUACAUCAUGGAGUUAUGGUACCUAGGUCUACAACUGCAUGCAGAUGGUGACAUGCUCAUAUGAGAAGCCUCAGAGGACAGCGAAUGAAAUGCAACCAGCCUGAGAAUUUCGUCUGGAACAAAGUGCACACAUGCACAGAGUGAAUUCUGGCCAGCUCCAUUGAACAGUGUGUGAUGAGGAGUGGGGGAGGAAGACACAGAUCAGGAGAUACUAUUACAGUGCUGGGGACCAGGAACAACCAUCCAUGCCUUUGUCACUGCAGGCUAUUGAUACAUACUAUUAAAAACUACAUAAGACAACCCAGCUGGAAAUCAGAGCUGAAGAAUAAUAAACCAGCUUGGUAAGUUUAGUUCCUUUUAGAAAGCACAUAAAACUUGUGCACUGUUACUUGUAUUGAUUUUCCAUUGGUUUCCAGUUAAAUUUUUAGACAACAUUUUAAAGCUUAAAUCCGUAAAUGAGUCAAAACAAAUCAAAUUCUCAAGGCCUCUGGCCAGCACAGAGGCACCAAGUUCACAUACAUGCACAAAAUCCCAUACAGACAGCUGAUGCCAUCUCAGUGUGAUUUGUUAUGUUUACAACAACCAUUUGAUAACAGUUGUGAAUUUUUAGAUGAUUUUAAAAUGCAUAGAAACUUAAGUUAGUCUAGAUCCUUCUAAAAUGCAUAGAAACUUAAUGUAGAUCCUUCUUUCUUUCACGGCAGUAAAAACCCCAGGGCAAGUUACAGGAGUUACCACUCCAGUUUUCAUGAUCAAAGUAUUUUACAGUUACUUUUGCCAAGUGAGGGAUCCAGAGAAUAAAUUUUGUUUAAAUAUCUAGUAUAGAAAUUGU